This 2904-nucleotide ribosomal RNA is filed under the name Escherichia coli. RNAcentral's name for it is "bacterial LSU rRNA". It matches the Rfam family "Bacterial large subunit ribosomal RNA". The record is from RNAcentral. Lineage: Bacteria; Pseudomonadati; Pseudomonadota; Gammaproteobacteria; Enterobacterales; Enterobacteriaceae.
UUAAGCGACUAAGCGUACACGGUGGAUGCCCUGGCAGUCAGAGGCGAUGAAGGACGUGCUAAUCUGCGAUAAGCGUCGGUAAGGUGAUAUGAACCGUUAUAACCGGCGAUUUCCGAAUGGGGAAACCCAGUGUGAUUCGUCACACUAUCAUUAACUGAAUCCAUAGGUUAAUGAGGCGAACCGGGGGAACUGAAACAUCUAAGUACCCCGAGGAAAAGAAAUCAACCGAGAUUCCCCCAGUAGCGGCGAGCGAACGGGGAGCAGCCCAGAGCCUGAAUCAGUAUGUGUGUUAGUGGAAGCGUCUGGAAAGGCGCGCGAUACAGGGUGACAGCCCCGUACACAAAAAUGCACAUGCUGUGAGCUCGAUGAGUAGGGCGGGACACGUGGUAUCCUGUCUGAAUAUGGGGGGACCAUCCUCCAAGGCUAAAUACUCCUGACUGACCGAUAGUGAACCAGUACCGUGAGGGAAAGGCGAAAAGAACCCCGGCGAGGGGAGUGAAAAAGAACCUGAAACCGUGUACGUACAAGCAGUGGGAGCACAGAGCAAUCUGUGUGACUGCGUACCUUUUGUAUAAUGGGUCAGCGACUUAUAUUCUGUAGCAAGGUUAACCGAAUAGGGGAGCCGAAGGGAAACCGAGUCUUAACUGGGCGUUAAGUUGCAGGGUAUAGACCCGAAACCCGGUGAUCUAGCCAUGGGCAGGUUGAAGGUUGGGUAACACUAACUGGAGGACCGAACCGACUAAUGUUGAAAAAUUAGCGGAUGACUUGUGGCUGGGGGUGAAAGGCCAAUCAAACCGGGAGAUAGCUGGUUCUCCCCGAAAGCUAUUUAGGUAGCGCCUCGUGAAUUCAUCUCCGGGGGUAGAGCACUGUUUCGGCAAGGGGGUCAUCCCGACUUACCAACCCGAUGCAAACUGCGAAUACCGGAGAAUGUUAUCACGGGAGACACACGGCGGGUGCUAACGUCCGUCGUGAAGAGGGAAACAACCCAGACCGCCAGCUAAGGUCCCAAAGUCAUGGUUAAGUGGGAAACGAUGUGGGAAGGCCCAGACAGCCAGGAUGUUGGCUUAGAAGCAGCCAUCAUUUAAAGAAAGCGUAAUAGCUCACUGGUCGAGUCGGCCUGCGCGGAAGAUGUAACGGGGCUAAACCAUGCACCGAAGCUGCGGCAGCGACGCUUAUGCGUUGUUGGGUAGGGGAGCGUUCUGUAAGCCUGUGAAGGUGUGCUGUGAGGCAUGCUGGAGGUAUCAGAAGUGCGAAUGCUGACAUAAGUAACGAUAAAGCGGGUGAAAAGCCCGCUCGCCGGAAGACCAAGGGUUCCUGUCCAACGUUAAUCGGGGCAGGGUGAGUCGACCCCUAAGGCGAGGCCGAAAGGCGUAGUCGAUGGGAAACAGGUUAAUAUUCCUGUACUUGGUGUUACUGCGAAGGGGGGACGGAGAAGGCUAUGUUGGCCGGGCGACGGUUGUCCCGGUUUAAGCGUGUAGGCUGGUUUUCCAGGCAAAUCCGGAAAAUCAAGGCUGAGGCGUGAUGACGAGGCACUACGGUGCUGAAGCAACAAAUGCCCUGCUUCCAGGAAAAGCCUCUAAGCAUCAGGUAACAUCAAAUCGUACCCCAAACCGACACAGGUGGUCAGGUAGAGAAUACCAAGGCGCUUGAGAGAACUCGGGUGAAGGAACUAGGCAAAAUGGUGCCGUAACUUCGGGAGAAGGCACGCUGAUAUGUAGGUGAAGUCCCUCGCGGAUGGAGCUGAAAUCAGUCGAAGAUACCAGCUGGCUGCAACUGUUUAUUAAAAACACAGCACUGUGCAAACACGAAAGUGGACGUAUACGGUGUGACGCCUGCCCGGUGCCGGAAGGUUAAUUGAUGGGGUCAGCGCAAGCGAAGCUCUUGAUCGAAGCCCCGGUAAACGGCGGCCGUAACUAUAACGGUCCUAAGGUAGCGAAAUUCCUUGUCGGGUAAGUUCCGACCUGCACGAAUGGCGUAAUGAUGGCCAGGCUGUCUCCACCCGAGACUCAGUGAAAUUGAACUCGCUGUGAAGAUGCAGUGUACCCGCGGCAAGACGGAAAGACCCCGUGAACCUUUACUAUAGCUUGACACUGAACAUUGAGCCUUGAUGUGUAGGAUAGGUGGGAGGCUUGGAAGUGUGGACGCCAGUCUGCAUGGAGCCGACCUUGAAAUACCACCCUUUAAUGUUUGAUGUUCUAACGUUGACCCGUAAUCCGGGUUGCGGACAGUGUCUGGUGGGUAGUUUGACUGGGGCGGUCUCCUCCUAAAGAGUAACGGAGGAGCACGAAGGUUGGCUAAUCCUGGUCGGACAUCAGGAGGUUAGUGCAAUGGCAUAAGCCAGCUUGACUGCGAGCGUGACGGCGCGAGCAGGUGCGAAAGCAGGUCAUAGUGAUCCGGUGGUUCUGAAUGGAAGGGCCAUCGCUCAACGGAUAAAAGGUACUCCGGGGAUAACAGGCUGAUACCGCCCAAGAGUUCAUAUCGACGGCGGUGUUUGGCACCUCGAUGUCGGCUCAUCACAUCCUGGGGCUGAAGUAGGUCCCAAGGGUAUGGCUGUUCGCCAUUUAAAGUGGUACGCGAGCUGGGUUUAGAACGUCGUGAGACAGUUCGGUCCCUAUCUGCCGUGGGCGCUGGAGAACUGAGGGGGGCUGCUCCUAGUACGAGAGGACCGGAGUGGACGCAUCACUGGUGUUCGGGUUGUCAUGCCAAUGGCACUGCCCGGUAGCUAAAUGCGGAAGAGAUAAGUGCUGAAAGCAUCUAAGCACGAAACUUGCCCCGAGAUGAGUUCUCCCUGACUCCUUGAGAGUCCUGAAGGAACGUUGAAGACGACGACGUUGAUAGGCCGGGUGUGUAAGCGCAGCGAUGCGUUGAGCUAACCGGUACUAAUGAACCGUGAGGCUUAACCUU